UGGGGAAUCUUGCGCAAUGGCCGGAAGGCUGACGCAGCGACGCCGCGUGUGGGAGGACGCCUUUCGGGGUGUAAACCACUGUUGCCCGGGACGAACAGCCCUUUUCGAGGGGUCUGACGGUACCGGGUGAGGAAGCACCGGCUAACUCCGUGCCAGCAGCCGCGGUAAUACGGAGGGUGCGAGCGUUGUCCGGAAUCAUUGGGCGUAAAGGGCGCGUAGGUGGCCCGGUCAGUCUUUGGUGAAAGCGCGGGGCUCAACCCUGCGUCGGCCAGGGAUACUGCCGCGGCUCGAGCACUGUAGAGGCAGGCGGAAUUCCGGGUGUAGCGGUGGAAUGCGUAGAGAUCCGGAAGAACACCGGUGGCGAAGGCGGCCUGCUGGGCAGUAUGGCUGACACUGAGGCGCGACAGCGUGGGGAGCAAACA
This 422-nucleotide ribosomal RNA is filed under the name uncultured Gemmatimonas sp. RNAcentral describes it as "bacterial SSU rRNA". It matches the Rfam family "Bacterial small subunit ribosomal RNA", at positions 355 to 774 of the family's 1533-position model. Lineage: Bacteria; Pseudomonadati; Gemmatimonadota; Gemmatimonadia; Gemmatimonadales; Gemmatimonadaceae. The record is from RNAcentral.